This 4269-nucleotide long non-coding RNA is filed under the name Chlamydomonas reinhardtii. RNAcentral's name for it is "long non-coding RNA (CREI_LNC000100)". Lineage: Eukaryota; Viridiplantae; Chlorophyta; Chlorophyceae; Chlamydomonadales; Chlamydomonadaceae. The record is from RNAcentral.
GCUGGUCUCCACCUUGGAACAACGACGGCGUUGCAGCGCCUGGGAGUCCCGGGCCCGCCCGGCAUGGGCAUGCUGCACCCCCCGUCGACUGGGCCUCGCCUUGUUGCUAGCAGUUGUGGCUGUGUGCUGGCACCCUCCAGUAGUGGAGGCAGGGGCCAAACAUAAACAGUUAGCUGGCAGUCGGCAAAAGCGCCCGCCUCCGCGCCCGACGGUCCUUGUCCGGCAUCGGUUGCCCCCUCCGGCCAAAGGUGGCAAGCCCUCCUCGCGUACGGUCCCGCCCGCGCGACGGCCGUCUCCGAGCAAUGGCACCGCACCACCUGUUACACCACAGCCACCAUCACCAGCGCAGCAGCCCCAGUUCCAGCCACCAACACCGGGCGCCAGCUUUCCCAGCCCCCCGCGGCAGCAGCCCGUGCCCCCGCCCCCCGCUGCAGGCCCCGGCCCCAGCCCCAGCCCCAGCCCCAGCCCCGGCGCCAGUCCCAGUCCCAGUCCCAGUCCCAGUCCCAGUCCCAGUCCCAGCCCACGGGCCGCCAGCCCACCGCCUCCCCACCCAAGCCCUAGUCCUAGUGGGGCGCCCGCGCCGACACCUCCGCACGGGGAGGCAACGUAUGGGCCCUACACGUCGCGCACAGGUACGUCGCGAGGAGACGGGGGGAUGGGUGGGAGCACCCGCCCCCUCAGUCGGGGCGCACCGAACACACACAUACAUAUGCUUGCAUUAGCACUUGACGAUAACCAGACAGGGCUUCUUUGGUACUGUCCCUCUGUCCUGAUGGUUGGGUCAUCUAUUGGCGAGGGGCCGGGUGACGGGGUGUGGCGGGAGGGGCCUGCGCGGCGGGCAGCGCCCAAACGGCACACGCCCCUACACACGUGGCAAACAGGGCCGCCAGGCCCAUACCUACGACAUCAAUCCCCGACCCGACUCCCUUUGAUCCGCGCAGAGGGCGACGAGAUCCUGGUACUCACAGUGCAGCUGGACCCCCGGACCAGUAGCGCUAGCAGCGGCGGCGGCGUGCCGCCGGGGCAGGACGGCUCCAACAGCCCGCCCGGCGCCUGGGACCAUCGCGACCUGACCACGGUGGUGGACGACGAACAGCGGCUGUACUUCCGUGUACGGCCGGAGGGCACGGGGCCGCCGCUGCCGGACGGCACUCGGGCGCCUGUGUACCGGCGGCUGUUGUUCAGUGAGCCGGCGGUGAGGCGGGCCGCGGUGGGGCGUGUUUGCGGGGGUGGGAUGGGGUCGAUUUACAUUCAUGAUUGGUUAAGGAUGUGAGUGGGGGGAAAGAGGGGCUGUAAAUACCAAACGAAACCGAACCCAAUGCACAAAGAGCGAGGGGGGGCAGGAGGGAACUGUUGAGGGUGUCACAGGCGUGUGGCUGAUGGGACAGAAAUCGGGUUACAGAGGUGGGGGUGAGCUAGGGUACGUGCCACUAGAGGCGAGGGACGCGGGUGAGGCGGUGGUGGGUGUGCACGGACCUGUGCCGUUGAGGGUCGUGGACUUGACACGGAGAGACUCCCAAUUGGAAGUCUGUACGGCGGCUGUGUACAGCCCAGCAGCCACUACCACCACCACCACCACCACCACCACCACCACCACCACCUGCGACCAUGGCUGAGCCGCCCGCCUGCAUCUAGCCACCUGCAUGUGCACACCUGCGUCUACGCCUGCGCCGCACACAUAUCCCUCACACACACAGGACCCUCAGGAGGUGGCCGCGCUGGAGACCGGGGACCUGGUGUACCACCGGGGUGUGGAGCGCCAGCCAUGGGCAGCGAGGGACCCGGCGCGGCGGCGAUGCUGCAGGCGUGGCAGGAGUGAGGAGUGCAGCGGGGUAUGCAGCGGAGGAUGGGAUGUGAAGUUGUGGGGGGAGGGCGGGGGAGGGGGCCGUGGGCCGAGAGGUUUUGCGCGGGCGUAGCAGGAGGAGCGUAGGUGGCUCCAAAGGCCGAGGGGCUUGCGGGUGUCUUGUUGCUAGGGCGCUGGGAAGACAAGGGACGGCAUCGAGGUGAAGCUGGACGCUGUGUUGGUGGCACGCCUUGUGUAGUUGGUCACAAAUCUAGGCUCCAACGCUUGCACCGGUGCGUGCGUGUGCGUCUGUGUGUUUGCGAGUAGGUGCCACCAUACCGGCUAGUGAGUUGAGACUCGGAAGAGUCCGCUGCAGCCCAUUUUGAUUUACCGUAUGGCAGAUUUGUGCAGGUUGGCAUCUUUUGCAUCGCUGUUGUGUUGUCAACCCAUGACUCCUGAGCCUAAUUACCGUAUGUGCAUUGGUUUAGGUGCCGAGACGUGGCGUGGCGUGUAGGGUCGUCGUGUGAGUUUUGACAGUCACGCGUUGUCUCUUCUUGAGGGGAUGCGUGCAUUGGGGUAGUAUUGCAAUGGGCCCAUGCCGGCCUAACAGUAGGGAGCGGAUUUCAUUGCUUGAUGCCACACAAUGUAAGACUAGUACGUUGGAGACAUCGUUGGGGACGUGCACUUCCCUGCGCGUUCUCCCAAUGUGGGUCCGUUUGCUGUGUGUUGUAGCUACGGCCGCAGACGUGGUGUGCGUAGUAGCCGGCGACCCCCGCCGAUGCAUAAAUUGUUGCACAGCAAGAUAAGUCAUUGCGCUGUAUGCGCUGUGUUGAGGCGUGUGGGCUAGAAAGUAGAAACACGUGUGGGCUAGAAACAUGUGCAUGCUGGUGUGUGCGGUGGGCAGUGGACGCAUGCAGCCAUGCACCCGAUGGGGCAGAACACACGUGUGCAGUAGGUGACACGUGUGGCGGCUGAGGGCGGCAGCUGCAGCUGUAGCUGCAGAUGCAGAACUGCAGGCAGCGGCGGGCGGAGCGGCCUGUCAGCAUACCGGUAGUAGCAGUUUGAUAGUGACGCCGGCGUUCAGGGAGGGCUUGUACAUGGAUUCAUUAUUGCAGCGCCGGCUUGCGACAGGAACCCGCCCGUGAUGUAACACACGUAAACGGACGGUGAUGCGCAAAUUAUGUUUUGCCGUGUUGGUUCGUGUGCAAAAGCGCCCGGCAGACGCAGAGCUCCAGCGUGUGGGGUGACCGGUGACAGGUGAAGCGGAGUGGAGCGCUCACGUCGUAACGCCGUUGCCAUGGCAGUCCGGGGUCAAGACUGACGUAAUCGACUUUGUUGUGCGCCUGUGCACCCUGAAAUGCAGACAGACAACGCAGGUAAGCGACCGCGUGUCAGAGGAAGUCCGACGCGGGGUCGCGGGGAUGGGGUCGCGGGGGUGGGGUCGCGGGGACAUUUUACUGCUUGGCCAGUGUGAGUCCUGCUUGUAAGGCGGGCGCCGGCUGUGGUGGGCCUUGGCUGCAUCAGAGGCCCAUAACGAACUACGAAUGCAUCCCAACAUUGAGGCCAGCGUGAACAGCGCGUGGCGAACUCGCUGACAGAUCGCGCUUUGGAUUCGGCCCGAGGAGUCUGUGAUGGUCCAGGCGUACGUAGUGUGACCAUGCCGUUUGGCUCAUAUUGCUGUUAGCUGCGCACUCCAUAGCUACUCCAUCUUUCUUAGUCAAGGCAGUUACAGGGGCCCUGCGACUUCGCGCCUGUAGCUUCGCGACUUCUCAUUGCCCACAAGGCUGGACCAUUUGAAAUUUACAUUACGCUAACAAGCUAUUGCAUUGAGAGGACAGGCAACUAGAGUAGUCGCGGCGGGCUACGAAUUCGGUCCAUUCCUGGACGGGCGAAAAUGCAGGCCGGCAUAGAGUCCCGGCACACCACAUCUCUAUAAGCGCCAGCAGCCAAGUAGCCAGAACUAGGCGCUGCUGUGGGCGUACAGGCGCCCACCCCCCUCGGGAGAACUUCCUUUUCUCAAGGACAAAUGCGAGAUGGCCCCGCUUCUGCGCAUGGGUUUACAGAAUUUCAGCUGGUCUCCACCUUGGAACAACGACGGCGUUGCAGCGCCUGGGAGUCCCGGGCCCGCCCGGCAUGGGCAUGCUGCACCCCCCGUCGACUGGGCCUCGCCUUGUUGCUAGCAGUUGUGGCUGUGUGCUGGCACCCUCCAGUAGUGGAGGCAGGGGCCAAACAUAAACAGUUAGCUGGCAGUCGGCAAAAGCGCCCGCCUCCGCGCCCGACGGUCCUUGUCCGGCAUCGGUUGCCCCCUCCGGCCAAAGGUGGCAAGCCCUCCUCGCGUACGGUCCCGCCCGCGCGACGGCCGUCUCCGAGCAAUGGCACCGCACCACCUGUUACACCACAGCCACCAUCACCAGCGCAGCAGCCCCAGUUCCAGCCACCAACACCGGGCGCCAGCUUUCCCAGCCCCCCGCGGCAGCAGCCCGUGC